Molecule: ribosomal RNA, 253 nt
Filed under: uncultured bacterium
Lineage: Bacteria
Description: partial 16S ribosomal RNA
Rfam family: Bacterial small subunit ribosomal RNA
Source: RNAcentral
UACAGAGACUGCAAGCGUUAUUCGGAUUCACUGGGCGUAAAGGGUGCGCAGGCGGCCAAGUGUGUGAGGCGUGAAAGCCUGGGGCUUAACUCCAGAAUUGCACCUCAAACUACAUGGCUAGAGCAUUGGAGAGGGUAGCGGAAUUCACGGUGUAGCAGUGAAAUGCGUAGAUAUCGUGAGGAACACCAGAGGCGAGGGCGGCUACCUGGACAAUUGCUGACGCUCAAGCACGAAAGCGUGGGGAGCAAAAGGG